Molecule: long non-coding RNA, 313 nt
Filed under: Pandoravirus salinus
Description: putative ncRNA
Source: RNAcentral
GGCCGCCUUGCGUGCCUCUUGGCGCGCCGCCUUGGUGGUGGUGUUGUUGUUGUUGCCGUUGGUUUGGUGCUGGGGAUGACUAUGGUCGGCCUCGUGGCCCUGGCCAUCGGCGUUGCCCUCGUCAUGGCCAUGCUGUUGGUCGACGGCGUGCUGGGCGGCACCGUCGUCGUUGGCCUGAUGGGCCUCGGUCUGCUGCGCCUCCCGUGCCGCCUUUUCAGCGGCGGCCUUGCGUGCGAUGGCUGCCUGCGCGCGGCGCUGAUGGCGGUUCAUCGGAGCGGGUGCGGUGGUCGUGCUCGUGCUCAUGGUGCAGUGC